Molecule: long non-coding RNA, 1845 nt
Organism: Lepidothrix coronata (blue-crowned manakin)
Lineage: Eukaryota; Metazoa; Chordata; Aves; Passeriformes; Pipridae
Exons: 3
Source: RefSeq, a predicted model, not a curated record
GGGAGGCCCCGCCCCACUGCGGUGGAAUCGGCGGCGGUCGCUGUGGGGAACAGCGCCGGGGGGAGCGAGGCUGGCGGGGCCGUGGGGGUCCAGGAAAAAUAAAGGAUACAGUGCUGAUGAAACUGGAAAGGUUGACAGGUUUCUGCAGCCAGAAAAAAAAAAAAGGAGCAUAUCUUUCUAUGGGAAACAAAAUAUAUGAGGACUAUGGCAAGGAGACAAAAAUGAAAAAGAGGAUGGAACUGAGUAAGCAAAUCUGUAAAGAUAGGUUUGAUGCCUUUAUCAGUGGAGAAUAAAUCACAGCUGUUUGACAUCUCAAGUUUUGUGGGAUGACCAUUGAACCAAAUGAGUUUCCCAAGAAGGUGCAGGAGGAGUUUUCUGAAAUACCUGGUAGAGACCAUGUCCCAUGUUGCAAAUGUAAGUCUCUCUCAGGCAGACCCACUGCCUUCUAGGUGGGAUACACCAGAUGGAUGUGCUCUUUUAUCCCAAUUGUGCCAUAAACCCAUUCUUUAUUGCCCAAAUCCAGGAAAAGAAUUAAAAAGUCAUUCUGUCUAUUGUUCUACUGAGUGACUAGCAAGUAAUUGCAUAGCCCACUCGUGUACGUCACAUCAUGCUCAUCUCUGUCCACAAGGAAAAUCACUUUUAAUCUUUGGCUCUAUCAUUUGGAAAGUGUUCAAACUGAUAAAUUAUAUGGAGCAUUUUGACAGUUUCUUCCUAAUAGAAUUCAGUUUUCCGUAUUUUUGAGAAUUAUUUUCUCAUCUCUGUAAAGUAAAUAAGUCUAUAAAUCCUGGUCUAAAGGAUAACACUAAGAAUCUGGCAGUUAUUAAAUAACACACAGCUAAACUAAAGUAUUCUACCUUUCCCUCAUUUGUCAUGUAUUUUAGUAAUUUGUUUCACCUGUUGGCAAGUUUGAAGGUAAGUAUGUAUAGCAGAUACAAGUAGUAAUUUAUUUGGUAUUUAAGUUUGCAUAGCUGCCUGGGCUGUACGAGUUUGAGUGAUUCAUCAAAGCCUUUUGUCCCCCAGACAGCACAGAUUCUGACCAUUUCAUUGUGAUCCCAGGAUUUUUUUAAAAACCAAGGGGAGACAUGUCUAAUUUUUCCAUUCUUGGCUUAACCUCUGUGUGCUUACAGGCAAGUUGUAUACCCAAAGUCCUCCCUCAUUUUGAACAUUUUAUGGAUUGUGUGCCUUCUGAAAUGUUCAGUUUUUAUCAGGUUCACAUCCUAUUCAUUGCUCAGCAACAUAACCUAUGGAGAAUGAUUGGCAUUCAUACUUAGAAAUGCCUUAUGCUUUCCUACCAGUAUGAAUUAUUGCUUUCAUCUCUGAAUUUACAUACACUGAUGCUUGUGCAGAUUCUAGACACAUUUGGAAGGAAAUGCAUUUCAAGUGAUUGAUAGAACAAAGGUGGUUUCUAGUUCUCAUCAGCCUAUUCUUUAAAAUAUGUCACAUAACUGACUGACUUAGUAUUUUCAUCACUGCAUUUAGUUCAGACUCACCAAAACUGAUUCUGUCAAGGUGGGUUUGUCUUUUCUUUCCAGAGAUCUGUGCUGAAAUUCAAUCUGUUCUGCAUCUUCAAUGUUUUUGGGUUUUUAUAUUCUGAUGCUACUGAUGCCACACUUAGAAGAAAAAAAAAUACUCUAGUUCCUUACAGUUCCCUCUUUGCUUAUAUAGCUGGAAUUUGACUCCACCUCAGAAAUGGGUUUUUAUUCAGUGUUGUAUUGGGUUUGCGUGGCAAGAUUUUGGUAGCGGGGGUGGGGGCUACAGGAGAGGCUUCUUUGAGAAGCUGCCAGAAGCUUCCUCCAUGGCCAAGAGAGCCAAAGCCAGCCAGCUCCAGGACAGACCCACUGCUGG